UCGUAGGUGACCUGCGGAGGAUCAUUACCGAGUGAGGGCCCUCUGGGUCCAACCUCCCACCCGUGUCUAUCGUACCUUGUUGCUUCGGCGGGCCCGCCGUUUCGACGGCCGCCGGGGAGGCCUUGCGCCCCCGGGCCCGCGCCCGCCGAAGACCCCAACAUGAACGCUGUUCUGAAAGUAUGCAGUCUGAGUUGAUUAUCGUAAUCAGUUAAAACUUUCAACAACGGAUCUCUUGGUUCCGGCAUCGAUGAAGAACGCAGCGAAAUGCGAUAAGUAAUGUGAAUUGCAGAAUUCAGUGAAUCAUCGAGUCUUUGAACGCACAUUGCGCCCCCUGGUAUUCCGGGGGGCAUGCCUGUCCGAGCGUCAUUGCUGCCCUCAAGCACGGCUUGUGUGUUGGGCCCCCGUCCCCCUCUCCCGGGGGACGGGCCCGAAAGGCAGCGGCGGCACCGCGUCCGGUCCUCGAGCGUAUGGGGCUUUGUCACCUGCUCUGUAGGCCCGGCCGGCGCCAGCCGACACCCAACUUUAUUUUUCUAAGGUUGACCUCGGAUCAGGUAGGGAUACCCGCUGAACUUAAGCAUAUCAAUAAGCGGAGGAAAAGAAACCAACAGGGAUUGCCUCAGUAACGGCGAGUGAAGCGGCAAGAGCUCAAAUUUGAAAGCUGGCCCCUUCGGGGUCCGCGUUGUAAUUUGCAGAGGAUGCUUCGGGUGCAGCCCCCGUCUAAGUGCCCUGGAACGGGCCGUCAUAGAGGGUGAGAAUCCCGUCUGGGACGGGGUGUCUGCGUCCGUGUGAAGCUCCUUCGACGAGUCGAGUUGUUUGGGAAUGCAGCUCUAAAUGGGUGGUAAAUUUCAUCUAAAGCUAAAUACUGGCCGGAGACCGAUAGCGCACAAGUAGAGUGAUCGAAAGAUGAAAAGCACUUUGAAAAGAGAGUUAAACAGCACGUGAAAUUGUUGAAAGGGAAGCGUUUGCGACCAGACUCGCCCGCGGGGUUCAGCCGGCAUUCGUGCCGGUGUACUUCCCCGUGGGCGGGCCAGCGUCGGUUUGGGCGGCCGGUCAAAGGCCCUCGGAAUGUAUCACCUCUCGGGGUGUCUUAUAGCCGAGGGUGCAAUGCGGCCUGCCUGGACCGAGGAACGCGCUUCGGCUCGG
This 1143-nucleotide ribosomal RNA is filed under the name Aspergillus fumigatus. Its description in RNAcentral is "eukaryotic LSU rRNA". The stretch from base 538 to 1143 matches the Rfam family "Eukaryotic large subunit ribosomal RNA", at positions 1 to 610 of the family's 3401-position model. Lineage: Eukaryota; Fungi; Ascomycota; Eurotiomycetes; Eurotiales; Aspergillaceae. The record is from RNAcentral.